RNAcentral lists this non-coding RNA (57 nucleotides) under Homo sapiens (human). The record is from RNAcentral. Lineage: Eukaryota; Metazoa; Chordata; Mammalia; Primates; Hominidae.
CCAGUCACAGAUUUCUUUGUUCCUUCUCCACUCCCACUGCAUCACUUAACUAGCCUU